GGCUUAAUUACUCUUUUGAUCCCUUAAUUUAUUUAUUGGUUUCGUAUUGGUUUCGUUUUGGUUCCUUAACUAUUAAAAGUUUCGUUUUGGUCCCUUAACUCUAAUACAUUCAUCCUAACAUAAAGGACCAAAGUGGUUGAGAGAGGAUGAGUUAAGGGACCAAAACAAAACCAAAAAGUAAGUUAAAGGACCAAAACGAAACUUUUAAUAGUUAAGGGACCAAAAUGAAACCAAAAAGUAAGUUAAGGGACCAAAACGAAACUUUUAAUAGUUAAGGUA
This 279-nucleotide microRNA precursor is filed under the name Medicago truncatula (barrel medic). RNAcentral's name for it is "MIR2655 microRNA precursor family". It matches the Rfam family "MIR2655 microRNA precursor family". The record is from Rfam by way of RNAcentral. Lineage: Eukaryota; Viridiplantae; Streptophyta; Magnoliopsida; Fabales; Fabaceae.